ACCCUCGCUGAAUAGACCACAACACUAUCGAACACGCAUUUUUGUGGCCCUGGAUGUGAAUGCUCUCGCUGCUAGAGCAUCUCAUACUGUACACGUGAUUACUGUCAUGCGCGCAACGCAAAUGACGGAUGUCAGACAGUUUGUCCGAGUGGGCUUGCCGUAGUUUGCCGAGUCGACGUGCGCGUGUGUGAUUGUCAAACGCCAAUCUGUUGGCGACACUAAUUAUGAAAACGCCUUUUAUUUGACAAAGCUCGCUCAAAGAAAGAGAAUGUGAGGAGUACCGAAAGUUUGAACAAGAAUGGACGGCGCUUUGUGGAGAGAGGCGGUUCUGCCGUGUGUCUAAAUUCACAGGUGGGGAGUGUGCCAAGGGAUUCGUACUCGACGUUGCCAGUAAACAUUUCGACAACUUCACGUGAAGAUAAGUUAUUCAAGCGAAUAAAAGACACGCCUUCGUCGGCAAGAACUGGUCACCGUCCGACCAGCAUGAUGGAAAAUCAAAUGGAAUGACACUCACGAUGAAUGGAUGGAAGUUUCAACACCUGCACGGAGUUUAAUAAACGGCAGGAAAACCGGACAGCACCAGAAGUCGCAUAAAUGAAUGUUCCGGCGGAUGUUUCCUUCCCAAAGGAAUACAAACCUGGAAAUACGACCUGCAGGACGGCACUUUGGCUUUAAAUGCUCAGGUUACAUCGGAUGACUGCACCAGGAACUCAAGGGAAAUAAAGGAGGGAUGGACUUUGUCUUUUAUUAUAUCGCCGUACGGCGGUUUCGGCACCAUCACUCUCAUCUCUUCCGCCCUCACACGAGCUGGGCAGUAAAAACGGGAGCAGGCUCAUGGGAGGCCAUUAAAGACCAGAAACGUAGCUUGAGAGCUCUGCUUGCAGAGCUAACGAUCGCAGGCGCACGGUUCACCACUGAGCAACAAACGCCAACUCUGUAACCUUCCCAUCGACAAGCCAAACAACAGUGUAUCAAACGGAUGUGGGCCUGCUGAGAUUUGGGGACGCACUCAAGGAACGUCGAAUUGGUCUGCACGCCGAAGAGAACUCGCUCCUCCACUCGUCCGACGCCGAAGCCUGAAAGAAAAAACCACCCAGAGGAACGCCGUAGCCGCCGCAGCUCACGUUCACUCUUUUUCUCUCAGGCGACGAAAGACGACCUCGGCAAAAUAUUUGCAGUUCAGAAGCGGGUACCAGGGGUCAAAGGUUUCCAGCAUUCUGAUAAAUCAUAUUUACAUACCAACGGACACCACGUCUACAGCCCGACCAUAGCACGUCUAUAGAAGAGGACGGGACGCGGCGGGACUACGCGUUUCGGCGCGUCGGCGCUCGGCAUACGUUAAACGGAUCUCCGUAGAUUGCGGCCCGCAUCCUGUUGCGCUGGCCUCGGCGCUUAAGUGCGCUCGCUGGAGCAGAAAGAGCACGGGUGGAAAAAAAGAGAAGGGGAAACCGCCAAGAUGGACUUCAUGAUAAAUGGAGGCAAGAUGGACUCUACGAUAAACUCACCACUGCU
Syngnathoides biaculeatus (alligator pipefish) is the source of this 1512-nucleotide long non-coding RNA. RefSeq lists it as uncharacterized. Lineage: Eukaryota; Metazoa; Chordata; Actinopteri; Syngnathiformes; Syngnathidae. The record is from RefSeq and is a predicted model, not a curated record. The transcript has 6 exons.